This 497-nucleotide ribosomal RNA is filed under the name uncultured bacterium. Its description in RNAcentral is "partial 16S ribosomal RNA". It matches the Rfam family "Bacterial small subunit ribosomal RNA", at positions 28 to 507 of the family's 1533-position model. The record is from RNAcentral.
GAUGAACGCUGGCGGCGUGCCUAAUACAUGCAAGUCGAGCGAACAGACGAGGAGCUUGCUCCUCUGACGUUAGCGGCGGACGGGUGAGUAACACGUGGAUAACCUACCUAUAAGACUGGGAUAACUUCGGGAAACCGGAGCUAAUACCGGAUAAUAUAUUGAACCGCAUGGUUCAAUAGUGAAAGACGGUUUUGCUGUCACUUAUAGAUGGAUCCGCGCCGCUUUAGCUAGUUGGUAAGGUAACGGCUUACCAAGGCGACGAUGCGUAGCCGACCGGAGAGGGUGGUCGGCCACACGGGAACUGAGACACGGUCCAGACUCCUACGGGAGGCAGCAGUAGGGAAUCUUCCGCAAUGGGCGAAAGCCUGACGGAGCAACGCCGCGUGAGUGAUGAAGGUCUUCGGAUCGUAAAACUCUGUUAUUAGGGAAGAACAAAUGUGUAAGUAACUAUGCACGUCUUGACGGUACCUAAUCAGAAAGCCACGGCUAACUACGUG